This 248-nucleotide ribosomal RNA is filed under the name uncultured Actinomycetales bacterium. RNAcentral describes it as "partial 16S ribosomal RNA". It matches the Rfam family "Bacterial small subunit ribosomal RNA", at positions 81 to 334 of the family's 1533-position model. Lineage: Bacteria; Bacillati; Actinomycetota; Actinomycetes; Actinomycetales. The record is from RNAcentral.
CACGGGUACUCGAGUGGCGAACGGGUGAGUAACACGUGGGUGAUCUGCCCUUCACUUCGGGAUAAGCCUGGGAAACUGGGUCUAAUACUGGAUAGGACCAUCGUUUAGUGUCGGUGGUGGAAAGUUUUUCGGUGGAGGAUGAGCUCGCGGCCUAUCAGCUUGUUGGUGGGGUAAUGGCCUACCAAGGCGACGACGGGUAGCCGGCCUGAGAGGGUGGACGGCCACAUUGGGACUGAGACACGGCCCAG